CCUCGCCGUAGGACGCCGCCCUGAAUCCCCAACGCGCGCCUUUUCCCUGCGUCCCCAACCUCUGGUCUGCCCUGCAUCCCCAACGCCGUCGCCCUUCCUUCCCGCGUUCCUGGCCGUCUCUUCCGGCGUGAGCAAGGCCGCCGCCGCGCAGCAGCAGGAAUUGAAGAAUCUUCGGACAGAUAAGACUCAUUUGCUGAUUUUCUGAUUCUCCUCCUGCUUCUGAAAUUGAAGAAGGUACCGCAGAAGAAACUAAGUCACAAGAUCAGCCAUCGAAGGAGAAAAAGGCACGGUGGGCAAGCUCACGGCACGAUACAGUAAUUUUCAAGAUCAUGUCGCCUCACGGCACGGUGGGAAAGCUCAUGAAGCCCUGCAUCAAUGGCAGGUUGCUAGCCAACCAUAGACACCAACUGAACUUCUACGAGAGUACCGGAACUAUAGGCUCUCCAGUCUCCAUGCACCUUUCAGCAUAACAUAUAAAUACAUACUUUGCUUAGUUUUAUGUUCUAAUACAUACUUGCAUAAGUUGCUGCUGUUUCAGUAUGGUUUCUUUCAGCCUUCCUGAGUAAAUAUUUCCCAUGUUGGCAAGUAUAAACGAGUGUACUUCAUAAUGACCUCUUUGUUAGGUGGUCCUGGAGCAGACAUUGAUAUCUUAUGUGAAGCGAGAGGAUGAUUUCUUUGGGACACUACAUGACAUAUUGGCCCAAAUGGAGAAGUGACAGAACUGCAACGUGUACCUGAU
Lolium rigidum is the source of this 739-nucleotide long non-coding RNA. RefSeq lists it as uncharacterized. Lineage: Eukaryota; Viridiplantae; Streptophyta; Magnoliopsida; Poales; Poaceae. The transcript is spliced from 3 exons. The record is from RefSeq and is a predicted model, not a curated record.